This 275-nucleotide ribosomal RNA is filed under the name uncultured bacterium. Its description in RNAcentral is "partial 16S ribosomal RNA". It matches the Rfam family "Bacterial small subunit ribosomal RNA", at positions 8 to 274 of the family's 1533-position model. The record is from RNAcentral.
AGAGUUUGAUCCUGGCUCAGGACGAACGCUGGCGGCGUGCUUAAUGAAUGCGAGUCGAACGAGAACCAGAGGUAACCUUCGGGUAAUCUCUGGGGAGAGUGGCGAACUGGUGAGUAACACGUGGGUAACCUGCCUCUAAGACGGGAAUAACAGGAGGAAACUCCUGCUAAUACCCGAUAUUCCAGCCCUGCACAAGCGGGGUUGGGAAAGCUCCGGCGCUUAGGGAUGGGCCCGCGGUCGAUUAGCUAGUUGGUGGGGUAACGGCUCACCAAGGC